GAUGAACGCUGGCGGCGUGCCUAAUACAUGCAAGUCGAGCGAACGGAUGAGAAGCUGUCUUUUCUGAUGUUAGCGGCGGACGGGUUAUGAACACGUGGUUAGACUACCUAUAGGAAUGGGCUGAUUUCGGGAAACGGUAGCGAAAGCCGGAUAAUAUUUUGAACGGCAUUGAUCAAAAGUUAAAUAAGGUCUUGGUGGGACUUAUAGAUGGCUACGCGAUGCAUUAGUUAGUUGGUAAGGUAACGGCUUACCAAGGCAACGAUGCAGGGCCGACCUGAGAGGGUGAUCGGCCACACUGGAACUGAGACACGGUCCAGACUCCUACGGGAGGCAGCAGUAGGGAAUCUUCCGCAAUGGGCGAAAGCCUGACGGAGCAACGCCGCGUGAGUGAUGAAGGUCUUCGGAUCGUAAAACUCUGUUAUUAGGGAAGAACAUAUGUGUAAGUAACUGUGCACAUCCUGACGGUACCUAAUCAGAAAGCCACGGCUAACUACGUG
RNAcentral lists this ribosomal RNA (497 nucleotides) under uncultured bacterium. Its description in RNAcentral is "partial 16S ribosomal RNA". It matches the Rfam family "Bacterial small subunit ribosomal RNA", at positions 28 to 507 of the family's 1533-position model. The record is from RNAcentral.